CUGGGGGGUGGGGGGUAUGGCCGGGACCCCCUGAGCUGAGGGAGGACAGCCGGGAUCCGCCUGAGCUGAAGGGGAGGCCUCUGGGGUAAACACGGCUGGGGGAUCCCCCUGAGGUCGAUGGGAGAAUUGGGGUGGGAGACAACCCGGAUCGCUCGGAGCUGAAGGGAGGCUCUGGAGGCAACACAGCCCGGAUAGGAUCCCUGAGCGCCGGGGGUUCGGAGCUGCGGCUGGCUGGGCCCGGGAGCCGAUGGGGAUUCGGAGCGUGCGGGGUGUCACUCUGUGUGUCCCCAGCACAGAGCCACCAUGGCCCUGCCGGAGUGGCACAUCGCCGUGAAGCUGGCGGAGCAGCCGCUGGCCCCCAAAUCCAUCCUGCGCCUGCCGGAGACCGAGCUGGGCGAGUGCCCCCUGGGCGGCUGCAGCAUCUCGCACCUCAAGCAGCUCAUCGCGGGCAAGCUGCAGGAAUCCAUGCCGGACCCCGAGCUCAUCGACCUGAUCUACUGUGGCCGGAAGCUGAGGGAUGACCAGACCCUGGAUUUUUAUGGAAUCCAGUCGGGUUCCACUAUCCAUGUCCUGCGCAAGUCCUGGCCUGAGCCUGACCAGAAACCAGAGCCCGUGGAUAAGGUGGCAGCAGUCCGGGAAUUCCGUGUCCUGCACACUGCCCUGCACAGCAGCCCUGCCUACAGAGAUGCUGUCUUCAAGAUGCUGGGAAACAAGGAAUCCCUGGAUCAGAUCAUUGUGGCUACUCCUGGCCUCAGCAGCGACCCUGUGGCUCUGGGAGUUUUGCAGGACAAGGAUCUGUUUUCUGUGUUUGCAGACCCCAACAUGCUGGACACGCUGAUCCCAGCUCACCCUGCCCUGGUGAACGCCAUCGUUCUGGUGCUGCACUCGGUGGCAGGCAGCACCCCCCUGCCAGCCCCGGACACGUCCUCACGGGCCAUGGCCUUGGGCUCCUACCGGGACAUGCCAGGUGGCUUUCUCUUUGAGGGGCUCUCUGAUGAUGAAGAUGACUUCCACCAGAGCUCGAGGUCCACCCCUUCCAGCAGCACGUCCGGCUCGCGCCCGGCCUCGCUGGGCUACGCGGGGGCGGCGGGGCCGCGGCCCAUCACCCAGAGCGAGCUGGCCACCGCCCUGGCCCUGGCCAGCACACCUGAGAGCAGCUCCCACACACCCACCCCGGGCACACAGGGCCACUCCUCUGGGACAUCCCCGUUGUCCUCCAGUGUCCAGUCGGGGACACCCAUCACCAAUGACCUGUUCAGCCAGGCCCUCCAGCACGCCCUGCAGGCCUCAGGGCAGCCCAGCCUCCAGAGCCAGUGGCAGCCCCAGCUGCAGCAGCUGAGAGACAUGGGAAUCCACGACGAUGAGCUGAGCCUGCGGGCCCUGCAGGCCACAGGAGGGGACAUCCAGGCUGCCCUAGAGCUCAUCUUCGCUGGGGGGGCCCCCUAAAUCUUCCCGCUGGACUGCAAAAAGGUGGAAUGCAGGUGGAGCAGAAUCUCCCAGGUGGCUUUUGCAGUACCUCAACCAAUUUUGGACACAUUUCCAUGGGAUGAUGUUUGUUCCUUGCUUCCCCCAACCUGACAAGCUGGGAUGGAUGGUGGUGCUGGACCCUCCCUGGGAAUUCCAGAGCUGCUGUGGGAUGUGGGAAUCCUGUUUUUGGGGAGCCGAGACGUGGCCAUUCCCAUGCCAGUGCUGCCCUGGAACGCAAAGGAGCUCAGCACACAGGGAAAGGAGGACCAGGAAUUGCAGAACAAUUUGACCUGCUGGGACCUGGCAGGGACAUGGAGCUGACAGUGCAGCUCUCAUGACGGGAGUGUGGCCGAGCAGAGCCACCCAUUUCUGUUUUUUCUGUUGUUCUAACCUUAUUUAAUUGGGUGAGACUCCAAACUGGAUUUUGUUUACUCUGCCUGGAGCCUUUGGCACCCCUGCGUCAUUUCCUGCCCCUAUCAGUGAGUGCCCUCUGAGGAUGUGACACCUUCAGGUGAUGCUCCUGUGCCUCCCAGGGGGCUGUGGUGACAAGGGUGGGCUGUGACCAGUAAAUCACGUGGUGACACUGGCCUGGAAGGGCCUGGGCCAGCCCCAGGACUUUCCUCUGGAGGCACAGCAAGAGGGGAUGUCCCAGGCUGCGGUUCUGUGCUGCUCUCAAAAUCACGUGAGUGCAAUUCAGCUCUCUCACAAGUUCCCUUCAGGCCAAAUCUCCUGGGAAAUCUUAUCUGAGGGGGGCAAAAUCUCCUGGGAAAUCUCAUCGUGGGGCAUGUGGCUCCUCCACCCCUUUCCUGAGUGGUUUGUAAAGCCCUGGGGGUGGCUCUGAGCACAUGUGGGCCCCUUUGGUGGCACUCGUGCCAUGCCAUGUCCUUCAGCAGAACCCAGAGGGGGGGAACUUGUGCCAACUCCUCAGAGCCCCCAAAUUCCAUCCAGCUUGAAGAGAUGAGCCAGGAGAGCUGGAAGGCCCCCAAACUCUGCAGGGCUGUGGCCUUGGGAAGGGGUGGUUGAGGUUUUUUGGUUGCUGCCUGCCAGGAACAGGAGCUAGGGAUGGAGAUAGUUUGGGUGUGGAGAGCAAAAACUGCAGCAGCUGAUAAAGGAUCUGCUCUGCUCGCUUCCCUCCUCACUCUGUCAGCUGGGGAAUGAAGGGGCUGUCAGCACCAAGAGGAGCUGUGAGGGGGAAUUGCACUGAUUCCUACUCCAAACCCAGCCUCAGCAGUCAGCUCCUUCCCAGAAUGAGGAAUGGCAGCUCUGAUCUUCCAAAAGUUCUGUCCAGUUCUUCUCCCAGGCCAUCAGGUUUAGCACAGGAUUUUCUUGGUCUGGGCCAAAACAUUCACCAUCCUAAUCGUGUCUGGGAGGGGAUCACGGAAAAGGGGGAUGAGGAACAGGAACAUCCUUUGUCCAGCUCUGGCAGUGACUGGGUGUGGCACACCUGCCUUGUGGCACAGCAAAGGUCUUGCCUGCCUUAGCCAGGGCUAAGAUUUCUCUUGCUGAGCCUUUCUUCGGUGCUUCCAAGGGUCACAUUCCUGGCCGUGGCUGAGGGAAGGUAACGGAUCUGUUUUUGUGGAUAAAAACCAACGCCUGCUCGGGUGCCAAGUGCAAUCCGAGCUCUCUGGGUUG
Cinclus cinclus is the source of this 3099-nucleotide RNA transcript. It is a transcript of the gene named ubiquitin like 7, with no coding region annotated. The transcript is spliced from 12 exons. The record is from RefSeq and is a predicted model, not a curated record. NCBI's taxonomy places the organism in Eukaryota, Metazoa, Chordata, Aves, Passeriformes, Cinclidae.